GCCCGGUUAGCUCAGUCGGUAGAGCAUCAGACUUUUAAUCUGAGGGUCGUGGGUUCAAGUCCCACAUUGGGCG
Molecule: transfer RNA, 73 nt
Filed under: Pomacea canaliculata
Lineage: Eukaryota; Metazoa; Mollusca; Gastropoda; Architaenioglossa; Ampullariidae
Also listed under: 1 other name
Description: tRNA-Lys
Rfam family: tRNA
About the family: Transfer RNA (tRNA) molecules are approximately 80 nucleotides in length. Their secondary structure includes four short double-helical elements and three loops (D, anti-codon, and T loops). Further hydrogen bonds mediate the characteristic L-shaped molecular structure. tRNAs have two regions of fundamental functional importance: the anti-codon, which is responsible for specific mRNA codon recognition, and the 3' end, to which the tRNAs corresponding amino acid is attached (by aminoacyl-tRNA synthetases). tRNAs cope with the degeneracy of the genetic code in two manners: having more than one tRNA (with a specific anti-codon) for a particular amino acid; and 'wobble' base-pairing, i.e. permitting non-standard base-pairing at the 3rd anti-codon position.
Source: Rfam by way of RNAcentral